Trichonephila inaurata madagascariensis is the source of this 69-nucleotide non-coding RNA. The record is from the annotation of a GenBank genome assembly. NCBI's taxonomy places the organism in Eukaryota, Metazoa, Arthropoda, Arachnida, Araneae, Nephilidae.
AUGUAGCGUAAUGGAUAGCGCAUUGCACUUCUAAUCCAAAGGUCGUGGAUUCGAAUCCCACGUGGAAUG